Molecule: transfer RNA, 75 nt
Filed under: Candidatus Uhrbacteria bacterium
Lineage: Bacteria; Candidatus Uhriibacteriota
Description: tRNA-Ile
Rfam family: tRNA
About the family: Transfer RNA (tRNA) molecules are approximately 80 nucleotides in length. Their secondary structure includes four short double-helical elements and three loops (D, anti-codon, and T loops).
Source: RNAcentral
GCCCGGUUAGCUCAAUUUAGUUAGAACACCGCGCUGAUAACGCGGAAGUUGCUGGUUCAAAUCCAGUACCGGGCA